RNAcentral lists this long non-coding RNA (3004 nucleotides) under Sorghum bicolor (sorghum). RNAcentral's name for it is "long non-coding RNA (SBIC_LNC010160)". Lineage: Eukaryota; Viridiplantae; Streptophyta; Magnoliopsida; Poales; Poaceae. The record is from RNAcentral.
CACAUUCAAUCUUCGGAAGAUAUAUAAAAAACAUAAAUAUAGAUAGAUUAUCUUUCCAUUAGGUUGAGCGAUCUGAUCUGGCAAAUGUUUUAAAUACUACACUCAUGAUCUUAUUAUCCAUCAAAUUUGUCUUGCUCACUAUGCUUAAGGUUAGAGAAGAACAAAUACACUUUUGGUUCUGUUGGUGUUUUCCACCAACAGGGCCCAUGCACUUGAUCUCUGCCUUGUCUCUAUGAGCAGGAACACUUGGAGCAAAACAUGGUGGAGUUUUACAACUCCCAGAUUCCACCAAGUGAAAGACCUGGAUCUACGAGCACAAACACACUGAGCAGGAUGCUGCCAAUGCUGAACUUCGAACUACUGGGCAAACGAAGAACAUGGGUGACACCGUAUCAAGAGGUGCAGAUGUCAAGGUCCACACCUGAAUCAAAUGACGCACCUAAAGAAUGAACACGGUGAGAAGUCUUGUUCAGAAGACUUAAAACAUUGAACCCUCGCCGAAAGGUAAAAUCGGUAGUUAUCCAUAUUUAUCCUUUCUGCAUUCCUUUUUCCCUUAAAUUAUUGACUUUGCUUAAUAGCUUGUCAGUUAAUCAUGCUAUCUUGAAAAGAAAUUAAAUAUGUUAAAAAUAGUAAGCCCCAUGUGAGUAUGCUCGUGGCAUAAAACCCAUAAGUACAUUCACUGUGGUGGCGUAAAAAUAAAAAUAUUCAUGUCCUAUAAAAAUGAAAAUAUAAAAAUAAAUUUAUGAUCCUACCAAAGAGAGUAAUAUUUAUUAGUGGAAGCUCAACAUGAUAAAGGCUAAGAGAUUUUAUGCUAACACUUAACUAGUUUCACAAAGCUUUGUUGUCUAUUUGAGCUCCACAGAAUUCAAGGAUCAAAGAAGACUAGCAGACGGAGGACAUCCUAAUUGCUAUCAGGGCGCUACCAACAUUCAAAUACACCUCUGCCACAUGCUAGCUACAUCAAAAUCCAGCUUGGGGGAGAGCACCCCCAUUUAUCCAGCUAAGUGUUUCUACUCGCUUUUAUACUUUACUCAAAUAAUAAAAAGAUGCAUAAUCAUUAAAACCCAAAUAAAGAUUUUGUGCUUAUAUAUAUAUAUAUUUGCUUAGUUUAUUAAAUAAAUAAAUAAAUAAAGUAUCUAUGCCAAAGUGAACUCCAAUGAUAAACUCUUACAUGGAUAUGAUGAAUAGUUGCUCUGCCAAGUACCUAUUUUUCAAAUUUAAGCUCUCUCUCAAGUUUAGGCAUAACUGUUAUAAUUUAAAGCUUGCUCUAAACAUAAACUUGUGGGAAGAGUACCUGAUCAAAAUUCUAAGUUGUUAACGGAUAUGAUAUGGGAAGGUUGAUCUGCUGUUUAUCUGUUCUUAGAGAUACUAGAAUUAUGGAGAAUUUUAUCUUUGAAAAUCUUUCAAAUGUUGCAUGAUGAGUUUCUGUAUGAUGAGAGUUUAAAAUCCUACCACAACCAUAUAUACAUGCUUAUUAGACUAUGAAACAUACAUUUACUUUUUACUGCUUAUGAGCAUUGAGUGUGGCCAAGAUGUGUAGACCCUUAGGAGCUUGUCAUGCAGUUAAAAUCAAGAUUCACUUGCACGUUCACUCAUACAUGCUGCUUCUACUCCGGAAGUACGCAUCCACAUACAUCCACUCAUUUCCAUCUCUAGAUUCACCCAAAAUUAUUCUACUCCUAUCCAGGAGAGAAUAGCCAAAAACGUUAUCCUAUCCCUGUUAUUCCCCGUGAAAUAAAUGCUCGAGAUAUUUUGGUUACUACCACUUGCUAUAUUAUUUCAGGAGAUGAGUGCUCUAAAAAAAAGAGAGAAAAAAAGAGAAAGGAUACGAGGAAAUAAAAAGGGGCAAGUGACCGGAACCUCGAAAGAAAAGAAAAAGUGAGACGAGAGGUAAAAAUGGACAAGUGUCCGACAGUAGAAUUAGGGGUACAAGAUACCCACCUGAGAGAAAAAAAUAAUAAUAAUAUAGAGCAUCUCAAUCUCCUCAAAAAGCUUCCAAGUGCAAGAAAGGUAUGUAUCCUCUCAAAAGAGCAAAAGUAGAAUUAGACUUUCACCAUUGUUUUCACCAUCAUCACCAUACACCAUUUAUUCGUCACACAUGCACAUCUUGAUAUUGACUUAUUGACUUGUUUCUCUGGAUCCAUGGUUUGACUAUGCAAUAAAUGUCUUGUAAGUAUGUAUUAGCUGUCUCCCACCUAUGAGCUCCAGAUAUCAAAACCUUAUUAGAGUAGGGUGAGAGAGAAGGCAAUGUCACUAUGCCUCAUACCAAAAAUACCACAUACUUUGAGAGAAGGCAUAUAUCAUUACUGCCUUGGUGAGGAUCCAGAAAUACCACAAAAGAGAGAAUUGAGAGAGUCAUACAAGGAAUCUCUGAGUUUUAUUUUGAAAAUCUACAAAAACUCUAGAGCUAUAGUUGAUCAAAGAACAAGAGACAUGGCACUUGACUUGACCAUUCUAUCUUUUAACUGCUCGAGAUAUAAGUGACGGUUGCAAGCCCCAUGGUGAAAGGUAAAAUGAGUAAGUUUUAGGUCUUAAUAGUUUACCCUAACCCAGAGAUGGGAUCUUGUUUGAACGCAUGUGUACCUUUAAGGCAUGAAACCACUGCAGAAACUCUUGAGUCCAUCCUUGCUCAGGGACGAGCAAGAGGUAAGCUUGGGGGAGUUUGUUGAUGCUCCUUAAGUAUCAAAUUUAAUCAUCAAAUAAAUAAAGAAAAGGAUCCAAAUGCAACUGACACCCAGACUUAGGGUUUUAUCUAACAGAAUUCCAUGAGUUUUGGUGUUUGUCUAUUUCUGUAGGGGGUUAUCAGGAAAUAUGGAGGAAAGGCCCACAUGUCGGGUUUACAUAGAGAUAUUAACGUGCAGCGCAAUUUUCUAUCAUCUAGAAGACUCCAGAAGCCACGGGAACGAACGGGAAGCCGAGCAGGCUCGGGGAUAGGGCGCCCGCCCUGCUACAGGAGCCAAUCAGGCUCCGCCUUGUGGAUUAUGCUCCACCGACCUAAAGGAUC